Molecule: ribosomal RNA, 381 nt
Filed under: uncultured bacterium
Lineage: Bacteria
Description: bacterial SSU rRNA
Rfam family: Bacterial small subunit ribosomal RNA
Source: RNAcentral
UUCCAGCCAAUGGGCGAAAGCCUGACCCGCCAACGCCGCGUGAGGGAUGAAGUAUUUCGGUAUGUAAACCUCGAAAGAAUGGGAAGAAUAAAUGGGGGUACCAUUUAUAAGCUCCGGCUAACUACGUGCCAGCAGCCGCGGUAAUACGUAGGGAGCAAGCGUUGAUCGGAUUUACUGGGCGUAAAGGGCGCGUAGGCGGCUAGGUAAGUCACGUGUGAAAUCUCUGGGCUUAACUCAGAACGGGCAAGUGAUACUGUUUUGCUAGAGUGCGUAAGAGGCAGCCGGAAUUCCAGGUGUAGCGGUGAAAUGCGUAGAUAUCAAGAGGAACACCUGAGGCGAAGGCGGGCCGCCUGGGCCUAACACUGACGCUCAUGCGCGAAA